Molecule: transfer RNA, 75 nt
Filed under: Astronesthes nigroides
Lineage: Eukaryota; Metazoa; Chordata; Actinopteri; Stomiiformes; Stomiidae
Description: tRNA-Leu
Rfam family: tRNA
About the family: Transfer RNA (tRNA) molecules are approximately 80 nucleotides in length. Their secondary structure includes four short double-helical elements and three loops (D, anti-codon, and T loops). Further hydrogen bonds mediate the characteristic L-shaped molecular structure. tRNAs have two regions of fundamental functional importance: the anti-codon, which is responsible for specific mRNA codon recognition, and the 3' end, to which the tRNAs corresponding amino acid is attached (by aminoacyl-tRNA synthetases). tRNAs cope with the degeneracy of the genetic code in two manners: having more than one tRNA (with a specific anti-codon) for a particular amino acid; and 'wobble' base-pairing, i.e. permitting non-standard base-pairing at the 3rd anti-codon position.
Source: RNAcentral
AUUAAGGUGGCAGAGCCCGGUAAUUGCGGAGGACCUAAGCUCCUUUUCUCAGAGGUUCAACUCCUCUCCUUGAUA